UACGAAGGGGGCUAGCGUUGCUCGGAAUCACUGGGCGUAAAGCGCACGUAGGCGGCUCUUUAAGUCAGGGGUGAAAUCCUGGAGCUCAACACCAGAACUGCCCUUGAUACUGAGGAGCUUGAGUCCGGGAGAGGUGAGUGGAACUGCGAGUGUAGAGGUGAAAUUCGUAGAUAUUCGCAAGAACACCAGUGGCGAAGGCGGCUCACUGGCCCGGUACUGACGCUGAGGUGCGAAAGCGUGGGGAGCAAACAGG
RNAcentral lists this ribosomal RNA (253 nucleotides) under uncultured bacterium. RNAcentral's name for it is "partial 16S ribosomal RNA". It matches the Rfam family "Bacterial small subunit ribosomal RNA", at positions 524 to 776 of the family's 1533-position model. The record is from RNAcentral.